Oryza glumipatula is the source of this 200-nucleotide non-coding RNA. Lineage: Eukaryota; Viridiplantae; Streptophyta; Magnoliopsida; Poales; Poaceae. The record is from Rfam.
UUUAAGUGUAGCUAUGAGUUUCAUACCUUUGAUUAUUUAUCUUAUUUGAAAUUUUUUUUAUGAUUAAUAUUUUUAUUGUUAUUAGAUGAUAAAAUAUAAAUAGUAUUUUAUGUGUGGCUUACGUUUUUAAUUUUUUAAAAAAAAAUUGAAAUAAGACGAAUGAUCAAAAUUGGACACGAAAAAUUAUGGCUGCAUUUAAA